UAGAUACCCUGGUAGUCCACACCGUAAACGAUGGAUACUAGGGGUUGGCCAGGAAAUGGUCAGUCCCGCAGUUAACGCAAUAAGUAUCCCACCUGGGGAGUACGACCGCAAGGUUAAAACUCAAAGGAAUUGACGGGGGCCCGCACAAGCAGUGGAGUAUGUGGUUUAAUUCGAAGAAACGCGAAGAACCUUACCAGGGCUUGACAUAUACAGGAAUAUAUAAGAGAUUAUAUAGCUCUACGGAGUCUGU
RNAcentral lists this ribosomal RNA (250 nucleotides) under uncultured bacterium. RNAcentral describes it as "partial 16S ribosomal RNA". It matches the Rfam family "Bacterial small subunit ribosomal RNA", at positions 779 to 1031 of the family's 1533-position model. The record is from RNAcentral.